GUAAAUUAAGAUCUUAUGCUCAUGGUAAUUAAUUGAUGUACAAAAAAUGGAAAAAAAUAAAAAAUAAUACCUUAGCUACCCUAAAUAACCACGAAUUAGAAGGCCAAAAUAGAUAUCAUCAUCAUCGUCAGAGCUUUAUCCUAACUAUUUAAGGGUGGUAGUUCUAUAUACGAGAACGUUGAGGCGAACAACUAGUGGCCAACUCUCUUCAGCAAUCUCGGAUCUAAGAGCCCUUUUGGCCAUCCUACUGCUGCUACUAAGGUAAGAACACUCCCUAAGUCCGCUUUUGCUGCCUCUUGUACAAGGCUAUCCUUUCAGUUAAGAAGAGCAG
This 331-nucleotide long non-coding RNA is filed under the name Amborella trichopoda. RNAcentral's name for it is "long non-coding RNA (ATRI_LNC000651)". Lineage: Eukaryota; Viridiplantae; Streptophyta; Magnoliopsida; Amborellales; Amborellaceae. The record is from RNAcentral.